CCUACGGGAGGCAGCAGUGGGGAAUAUUGGGCAAUGGGCGCAAGCCUGACCCAGCAACGCCGCGUGAAGGAAGAAGGCUUUCGGGUUGUAAACUUCUUUUCUCAGGGACGAAGCAAGUGACGGUACCUGAGGAAUAAGCCACGGCUAACUACGGGCCAGCAGCCGCGGGAAUACGUAGGUGGCAAGCGUUAUCCGGAUUUACUGGGUGUAAAGGGCGUGUAGGCGGGAAAGCAAGUCAGAUGUGAAAACCAUGGGCUCAACCGGUGGCCUGCAUUUGAAACUGUUUUUCUUGAGUACUGGGGUGGCAGACGGACUUCCUAGUGUAGCGGUGACAUGCGUAGAUAUUAGGCGGAACCCCAGUGGCGACGGCGGUCUGCUGGACAGCAACUGACGCUGCGGCGCGAAAGCGUGGGGAGCAAACAGGAUUAGAUACCCCUGUAGUC
This 443-nucleotide ribosomal RNA is filed under the name uncultured bacterium. RNAcentral's name for it is "partial 16S ribosomal RNA". It matches the Rfam family "Bacterial small subunit ribosomal RNA", at positions 338 to 795 of the family's 1533-position model. The record is from RNAcentral.